CCUCGGGGACUGAUGCAGAGGCGUAGCCAGGCCAUUGGGAUGGGGUGGGCUGUGUUUCCCUGAUCGACUUUGUGAACCAUUGUUUCCCGGCAAAGGAGAGAUCAUGGCUUCUCGUGAGGCCUCCCAGGCCCCACUGGAAUUCGGGGGGCCGUUGGGUAAAUGGGAAGGUUCGGGGAGGUGGCUGAACCGAUGCUACUUAACGGGAGUAGGGUAGGAUACGAGCGGUCUAGAAGGCUUUUGGGAAGUCUGGCAGAAGGAUCCGGUGCGCGGGUGGCGGGGUGUCUGCGGGAGAGGAAGGACUGUGUGCUGACGGCUGCACAGCAGGGAGUUUGUGUAAUGAAAGACAGUUGGCAGAGCAGGAUGGUCUUUGGGAAUGCCAGAGGUAAGAGGACCAAGAAGAAAAUCAGGGUAGGAAUAUGGCGCUGGGAACUCGCUAAGCAGGCAGGUGACUCAAGGCGCCUGUGGACUUGAGAGCGCUCUGGGGAGCAGUCACGCGACACAGUGGCCCUCUUCCCAGGCGUCACGGCGAUGCUGAUCCUGCUGCCUGCCACCAUGUUCCACCUGCUUCUGGCGGCCCGCUCGGGUCCGGCGCGCCUCCUGGCC
This 603-nucleotide long non-coding RNA is filed under the name Rattus norvegicus (Norway rat). RNAcentral's name for it is "long non-coding RNA NONRATT003487". The record is from RNAcentral. Lineage: Eukaryota; Metazoa; Chordata; Mammalia; Rodentia; Muridae.